AAUUGCUAGUAAUCAUAGGUCAGCAUACUAUGGUGAAUACGUUCCCGGGCCGUUGUACACACUGCCCGUCACACCAUGAGAGUUGAGAAUACCCGAAGCCCAUGUCAAAGUGGUCGAAGGUAGGCUUGAUGAUUGGGGUGAAGUCGUAACAAGGUAAC
RNAcentral lists this ribosomal RNA (158 nucleotides) under uncultured bacterium. RNAcentral describes it as "partial 16S ribosomal RNA". It matches the Rfam family "Bacterial small subunit ribosomal RNA", at positions 1330 to 1500 of the family's 1533-position model. The record is from RNAcentral.